This 866-nucleotide long non-coding RNA is filed under the name Pectinophora gossypiella (pink bollworm). Its description in RNAcentral is "uncharacterized LOC126368533". Lineage: Eukaryota; Metazoa; Arthropoda; Insecta; Lepidoptera; Gelechiidae. The record is from RNAcentral.
AGUUUAUGAAACAGGUCGUCAAUAAUCGUUUUGUCUCUUUUUUACUAGUACAAAAUUUCAUUUGGUAAAAGAGAUAAAUAUAUAUUUGUUAUUUCUAGUUAUGGCAACAUUUUGUGAUGACGUCACAACAGCUGUAGGUGCGUGCCAUUUUUCGCCAUUUUAUGCGCUGUGUUUUGUGGUACUUCUGCUGUCAAGUAGCUGUUUAUGAGAUCGUAUUUUGUGUUUUGCGGAUAAAUUACGAGGAUUUGAUUUGCUAAAUCGAAGUUGAAGUUGAAAAAAGUGUUAUUCAACAUGUCCGUGUAUUGUAUUGUACAGUGUGGAGUCAGAAAGGACAGAAUUAACCGUAUUUGUCACUUCAUAGGCCAUCUUUCAAUCCAAAAUUGUCUACUGGAUUUACUGAAACAGGUGAUAUUGGAAAACUAAUCCACAGCUGCAACGUCGUCUGUGCUGCCAUUGCCCGUACGUCUGUCUCAUAAGUCAGUACAUGAAAAGUCUGUUCAAGAAGACGCGAUGAAAAAAUUAAAAGAUAGCCAAUUUGAAGAAUAUUAUGGAAGAUCUGCAGAAUAAAAAUCAAAUAAUAAAGGGCAAAGUGUAUUGAUGGAAGAAUUGGCAGGACCGCAAGACUUUUUGAAAAGGCAGGUAAACAAAUUUCAAGGUUUACCUUUGCCAAAGAAGUAUUCCCAAGAAAUAAGAAAGUUUGCUUUAACUUUACAUUUUCUUUCUCCGAAAGCGUAUAAUAAUUAUAUAUGCAAUGUGACAGGGUGUCACAAAGACAAUUUCUAAACAAAUUGACACUGUUUAGAUUUGUAUUUAUUGUAAAUAUAAUGUAGUUACAUAAUAAAUAAUGUGUGAAAUGAAUACUUGCU